AGAGUUUGAUCAUGGCUCAGAGCGAACGCUGGCGGCAGGCUUAACACAUGCAAGUCUAACGGACGUAGCAAUACGUCAGCGGCAGACGGGAGAGUAACACGUGGGAACGCGCCCUUCGGUUCGGAAUAACUCAGGGAAACUUGAGCUAAUACCGGAUACGCCCUUACGGGGAAAGAUUUAUCGCCGAAGGAACGGCCCGCGUCCGAUUAGCUUGUUGGUGAGGUAAUGGCUCACCAAGGCGACGAUCGGUAGCUGGUCUAAGAGGAUGAUCAGCCUCACUGGGACUGAGACACGGCCCAGACUCCUACGGGAGGCAGCAGUGGGGAAUAUUGGACAAUGGGCGCAAGCCUGAUCCAGCCAUGCCGCGUGAGUGAUGAAGGCCCUAGGGUUGUAAAGCUCUUUCAGCGGGGAAGAUAAUGACGGUACCCGCAGAAGAAGCCCCGGCUAACUUCGUGCCAGCAGCCGCGGUAAUACGAAGGGGGCUAGCGUUGCUCGGAAUUACUGGGCGUAAAGCGCACGUAGGCGGCUUGUUAAGUCGGGGGUGAAAUCCUGGAGCUCAACUCCAGAACUGCCUUCGAUACUGGCAAGCUCGAGUCCGGGAGAGGUGAGUGGAACUGCGAGUGUAGAGGUGAAAUUCGUAGAUAUUCGCAAGAACACCAGUGGCGAAGGCGGCUCACUGGCCCGGUACUGACGCUGAGGUGCGAAAGCGUGAGGAGCAAACAGGAUUAGAUACCCUAGUAGUCC
Molecule: ribosomal RNA, 744 nt
Filed under: uncultured bacterium
Lineage: Bacteria
Description: bacterial SSU rRNA
Rfam family: Bacterial small subunit ribosomal RNA
Source: RNAcentral